Long non-coding RNA from Cyclopterus lumpus (lumpfish), 260 nucleotides. RefSeq lists it as uncharacterized. Lineage: Eukaryota; Metazoa; Chordata; Actinopteri; Perciformes; Cyclopteridae. The transcript has 2 exons. The record is from RefSeq and is a predicted model, not a curated record.
GAAUCGAGAUGAAAAUGGUGGAACACAUUUGGAGGAUGCGGAUGCUGUGAAAGUCUCUGCACUUCUAGAAAAGGAAUCUCAUGAGGUAGACUUGGAAUCAAAGGGAGCAACGGUGGAAGAAAGCAGCAUGUCAACCCUCGACGAUGCCAGCCCAAUUGUUGAGUUUACUGUGAAUGUGACCAAAAUGUCAAAUGCAACACAAAGUGCCCUUAUAGAUACAAAUGACUCCCAAAUAUAAUAAACUAUUGCUGGUAAUUUGA